AUUGAACGCUGGCGGCAGGCCUAACACAUGCAAGUCGAGCGGAUGAAGGGAGCUUGCUCCUGGAUUCAGCGGCGGACGGGUGAGUAAUGCCUAGGAAUCUGCCUGGUAGUGGGGGAUAACGUCCGGAAACGGGCGCUAAUACCGCAUACGUCCUGAGGGAGAAAGUGGGGGAUCUUCGGACCUCACGCUAUCAGAUGAGCCCAGGUCGGAUUAGCUAGUUGGUGGGGUAAAGGCCUACCAAGGCGACGAUCCGUAACUGGUCUGAGAGGAUGAUCAGUCACACUGGAACUGAGACGCGGUCCAGACUCCUACGGGAGGCAGCAGUGGGGAAUAUUGGACAAUGGGCGAAAGCCUGAUCCAGCCAUGCCGCGUGUGUGAAGAAGGUCUUCGGAUUGUAAAGCACUUUAAGUUGGGAGGAAGGGCAGUAAGUUAAUACCUUGCUGUUUUGACGUUACCAACAGAAUAAGCACCGGCUAACUUCGUG
RNAcentral lists this ribosomal RNA (484 nucleotides) under uncultured bacterium. RNAcentral describes it as "partial 16S ribosomal RNA". It matches the Rfam family "Bacterial small subunit ribosomal RNA", at positions 30 to 507 of the family's 1533-position model. The record is from RNAcentral.